Long non-coding RNA from Oxyura jamaicensis (ruddy duck), 969 nucleotides. RefSeq lists it as uncharacterized. The transcript has 3 exons. The record is from RefSeq and is a predicted model, not a curated record. NCBI's taxonomy places the organism in Eukaryota, Metazoa, Chordata, Aves, Anseriformes, Anatidae.
UCAAGUUCAAGGUUAUCCUCAGCCAGCCUGGGCUGCAAUUGAAGCCUGAAUCACUUUACUGCCUGGCAGUAGAAGUGAGAAACAAGCAGCCUAAGCACCAAAGGAAGCCCAGCCCAACUGCGAGGUCACAGCAGCCCAGCUGCUACCAGGACUUCUAGGGCUGGGAGCACACAGAAGGGACCUCACUGAGAACCGAGUCUGUGCUGGGUAAGAAAGGAUAUUGGCAAAGGGGCUACCUGCUGUGGAAGUACCAAGUACCAAAGGUGCUUCCGAAGUGUGAGCAGCAGCAUACAAGAAAGCCCUCCAACAGCAUUUGGAGACGAGCUACACCGCAACCCAAGGAGAUCGGGAUCCCAGCUCAGCACCUGGCUGGUGAACCUGCAAGAGCAGCUUCUGGGGGUACUCAAAUGGAGGAAAAAAAAAAUCAGAAGCAUGACAGACGAGGCCCUCUAACAAAGUGUAACAGAGCUACACUCUAUAGAGAUGCUCCAAGAUGCUCUUCAGACAAGAGCUGACUGAAUAAAGAUGUGCCCGCUGCACAUGUUGUUCAUGAAGCCAGGUUCUUAAAUUAUGAAUAAUGGACACAAGAUGCAAACAGCACAGCAUCCCAGAGGAGAUGAGAAAUAUUUAAAAUGCCAAGAAAACAAACAAGAAAACCCAAAACACCCUCUUCCUCUGUGAAGCUAGAAACAAACUUCACAAUAAGCAGCCAGAAUUUGUCAGUAGCUCUAAAGAAAACAGAGAUGCUGAACAUGAAUAAGUGUUUGUGCCAGCCCAGCUCCUGGAAGCACCAGCAACAGCACAUUUCAGCAGACUCGCUGCUCCUAACAUCAGGAGGAGGUGUGAUGGAAGCACAGUCAAAACCAGACAGCUUUGGCUAAUACAGCUGAUUAGCCUGCCCACCAUGUCACAGCCACAUCUGAAGUGCUUUCAGUAAUAGUGACGAUAAACAGUGCGAAGGGCAACACC